UGGGGAAUAUUGCACAAUGGGCGCAAGCCUGAUGCAGCCAUGCCGCGUGUAUGAAGAAGGCCUUCGGGUUGUAAAGUACUUUCAGCGGGGAGGAAGGCGAUAAGGUUAAUAACCUUGUCGAUUGACGUUACCCGCAGAAGAAGCACCGGCUAACUCCGUGCCAGCAGCCGCGGUAAUACGGAGGGUGCAAGCGUUAAUCGGAAUUACUGGGCGUAAAGCGCACGCAGGUGGUCUGUCAAGUCGGAUGUGAAAUCCCCGGGCUCAACCUGGGAACUGCAUUCGAAACUGGCAGGCUAGAGUCUUGUAGAGGGGGGUAGAAUUCCAGGUGUAGCGGUGAAAUGCGUAGAGAUCUGGAGGAAUACCGGUGGCGAAGGCGGCCCCCUGGACAAAGACUGACGCUCAGGUGCGAAAGCGUGGGGAGCAAACA
This 427-nucleotide ribosomal RNA is filed under the name uncultured bacterium. RNAcentral describes it as "partial 16S ribosomal RNA". It matches the Rfam family "Bacterial small subunit ribosomal RNA", at positions 355 to 774 of the family's 1533-position model. The record is from RNAcentral.